This is a long non-coding RNA of Hemibagrus wyckioides, 206 nucleotides long. RefSeq lists it as uncharacterized. The transcript is spliced from 3 exons. The record is from RefSeq and is a predicted model, not a curated record. Lineage: Eukaryota; Metazoa; Chordata; Actinopteri; Siluriformes; Bagridae.
GCAAACCACUACAACGGUAACCUGCACUUUGCUGUAUGUGGCUGAAGAUGGACAGAUAUUCACCUCCACUUGGGACUAUGAUCACAACGACUGUGAGGAGAAUGAGGAGCGCCUUAACCCAGAGGAGUUGGAGGUGCCCUUUAUUUGCUGCCAUCUUUCAGACAGAGGGGUGACUGAAAUCGGCCUGAAGGUGCCCUUGCUUCGUG